GCGGAUGUGGCGAAAUUGGUAGACGCACCAGAUUUAGGUUCUGGCGGGAGACCAUGGGGGUUCGAGUCCCUCCAUCCGCA
Molecule: transfer RNA, 80 nt
Filed under: Bartonella taylorii
Lineage: Bacteria; Pseudomonadati; Pseudomonadota; Alphaproteobacteria; Hyphomicrobiales; Bartonellaceae
Also listed under: 1 other name
Description: tRNA-Leu
Rfam family: tRNA
About the family: Transfer RNA (tRNA) molecules are approximately 80 nucleotides in length. Their secondary structure includes four short double-helical elements and three loops (D, anti-codon, and T loops). Further hydrogen bonds mediate the characteristic L-shaped molecular structure. tRNAs have two regions of fundamental functional importance: the anti-codon, which is responsible for specific mRNA codon recognition, and the 3' end, to which the tRNAs corresponding amino acid is attached (by aminoacyl-tRNA synthetases). tRNAs cope with the degeneracy of the genetic code in two manners: having more than one tRNA (with a specific anti-codon) for a particular amino acid; and 'wobble' base-pairing, i.e. permitting non-standard base-pairing at the 3rd anti-codon position.
Source: RNAcentral